UUUCUUAUUAUUUUUAUUUUAUUUUUUCAUUUUUAAUAUAUUUUCUUUUUUUUAACUGUUUUUCUAUUGUAUUUUUUUUAAAAUUUUACUGUUUUUCUAUUGUAAUUUUUUUUAAAUUUUAUUGUUUUUCUUUUACAUUAUUUUAUAUAUAGUUUAGUCAAGUAAAUAUUAUCAUAAUAAGAAGCAAUAAUUGAUAUGUACAAAUGUAAUAUUUCAAAAAUAU
This 223-nucleotide long non-coding RNA is filed under the name Salvia miltiorrhiza (redroot sage). RNAcentral describes it as "long non-coding RNA (SMIL_LNC004295)". Lineage: Eukaryota; Viridiplantae; Streptophyta; Magnoliopsida; Lamiales; Lamiaceae. The record is from RNAcentral.